CCUACGGGAGGCAGCAGUGAGGAAUAUUGGUCAAUGGGCGCGAGCCUGAACCAGCCAAGUAGCGUGAAGGAUGACUGCCCUACGGGUUGUAAACUUCUUUUAUAAAGGAAUAAAGUGAGGCACGUGUGCCUUUUUGUAUGUACUUUAUGAAUAAGGAUCGGCUAACUCCGUGCCAGCAGCCGCGGUAAUACGUAGGUGGCAAGCGUUAUCCGGAUUUACUGGGUGUAAAGGGCGUAGAUGGGUUGUUAAGUCAGUUGUGAAAGUUUGCGGCUCAACCGUAAAAUUGCAAUUGAUACUGGCAGUCUUGAGUACAGUUGAGGUAGGCGGAAUUCGUGGUGUAGCGGUGAAAUGCUUAGAUAUCACGAAGAACCCCGAUUGCGAAGGCAGCUUACUAAACUGUGACUGACAUUGAUGCUCGAAAGUGUGGGUAUCAAACAGGAUUAGAUACCCUUGUAGUC
Molecule: ribosomal RNA, 458 nt
Filed under: uncultured bacterium
Lineage: Bacteria
Description: partial 16S ribosomal RNA
Rfam family: Bacterial small subunit ribosomal RNA
Source: RNAcentral